GACACUUGUCAAAAUCUGGCCAGCCCAUUUAAAUGAGAAGAAAAAACGUGUUCAGCAGCUCCCGUUUUUGGCAAAAUGAAAACAGCACUCACUUGUUAAUUUUGGAGGACCCGGCCCACUAAAACAGUAGAUUAAUUCCAGCCCAGUUUGCCCAUCAUUGUGCCACUUUCUCCACAUUCUCCACCUUGGUACAAUGAUUCCAAUAUCAUUUAUAGUGAUUCCUCCGAACAUGACAUCAUGUGCUCUUAUUCCCUGAUACACAAAUCAGCAAAAGUUAAGAUUCAACUGUUUUAAACAGUUCAAAAACUUGUUUAAAGGCAGCACUUUAGUUCCAACAUCAGCAGGAUUAAAAUGGGUAGAAAUCUUUUCAAGUUUAACAACACCUUGAGAAAUUACAUCUCUAAUAAAAUGAAAUUUCACAUCAACAUGUUUAGAUCUAUUGUGUAACACAUGAUUUCUACUCAAAUAUAUAGCAGAUUGGCUAUCAGAAUGUAAGACAACAUCAUUUAUGAAACCAAAUUCAUUUAGAAGUCCUUUUAGCCAAAUUCCCUCUUUAAUUGCAUCAAUAGCAGCUAUAUAUUCUGCUUCAGUUGAAGAUAAUGCAAUAAUCUUUUGUAAUUGUGAUUUCCAACUUAUACAGGAAUUACAUAAAGUGUAUACAUAGGCAGAAGUCGAUUUUCUGUUAUCCCUAUCACCUGCAUAAUCAGAAUCAGUGAAACCCCUCAAGAUAACACCCUCAGAUUGUUUUCUAUUCUCAAUUCCUAGGUCACAAGUUCCCUUAAUGUAUCUUAGAAGCCACUUCAUCGCUUCCCAAUGAACCUCACCAGGAUUAGACAUGUAUCUACUCAAUACACUUAUUGCAAAUG
RNAcentral lists this long non-coding RNA (866 nucleotides) under Olea europaea subsp. europaea. The record is from RNAcentral. Lineage: Eukaryota; Viridiplantae; Streptophyta; Magnoliopsida; Lamiales; Oleaceae.